RNAcentral lists this long non-coding RNA (483 nucleotides) under Panax ginseng (ginseng). Its description in RNAcentral is "long non-coding RNA (PGIN_LNC019034)". The record is from RNAcentral. Lineage: Eukaryota; Viridiplantae; Streptophyta; Magnoliopsida; Apiales; Araliaceae.
CCCAAGAUACAACUUACCGAGGCCCAUCUGGUGAACAUCAAAUAGCAGCAUAAAUUAAGAUCGAAAGUCCAAUUAAAGAACCUGCUCCAGCCGGACAUACAACAAAUAUUUCACCGCCUCCCGAACGACUUAAACCUUCGCCACAAAAACCAUUUUCUUAUGAAUCUAGGCCCGAAGCUGUGGCGACACCGAUGAUCAUCGGUUCGGCAAUAAUUCCAUCAUGGAACUGAUGGGUGAAGGAGUGAAAUACCAGACUAAAGGAAGUUGAGAUUCGACCAUCAAUCUGAACUGAUCGAUUAAUAUUAGUCAUCUGCAAGUAAGUACUGUCUCCGGGUACCUCCGUCUCAAAUAUAAAGAAACCGAAGAAGAUACCGAAGAGAAUGCCGAAGAGAUAACGCCAUCCGGAAGUCUGUGUUGGCAAAAGAAAGAAACAAUCUUGAUAUUGCUCUCUUCAACAAUGAAUGCCUUCGGAAGGAUAUNNNN